CCCGCCCCAUCCCCGGCUGUGGGGUCGGCGCGCAUGCGCGGCCCUCGGCUCGGCCUGGGCGCACCUUUUCUCCCUCCUGCCACAGUGUGAGCGCUCAACCGCGCAGAUAACCGCCGGCUGCCUGCUCCACCCCCGGCCCGCGCCCACUCCGCCCACUCCCGAGCGCCCAGGUGAAGAGAAUGUCUUCAAGCAGAACAGAAGACAGGAAGCAUACACAAUAAAAUGAAAUUCAAGAAUGAGUUCGGGGUCUAGUACACUCAGACUGUCUUCCUGGACACUUGACCCAUUCUUCCACCCUCUCUGUUGGUCAGGUUGUCCUGCUUGGAUGAGGGGUGUGUAGAGUGAUGGCCAAAAAUUGAGGUGACCUUCCAAGUGUUAUGACUCUCCAUCCAACUCUUUGUUUUUGUAAUCACAGUUUAUAUUAAUUCAACUUUCCAUUUUAA
Molecule: long non-coding RNA, 443 nt
Organism: Myodes glareolus (Bank vole)
Lineage: Eukaryota; Metazoa; Chordata; Mammalia; Rodentia; Cricetidae
Source: RefSeq, a predicted model, not a curated record